UACGAAGGGUGCAAGCGUUACUCGGAAUUACUGGGCGUAAAGCGUGCGUAGGUGGUGAGUUAAGUCUGUCGUGAAAGCCCCGGGCUCAACCUGGGAACCGCGCUUGAGACUGGCAUGCUCGAGUUCGGGAGAGGAUGGUGGAAUUCCCAGUGUAGAGGUGAAAUUCGUAGAUAUUGGGAAGAACACCGAUGGCGAAGGCAGCCAUCUGGACCGACACUGACGCUGAGGCGCGAAAGCGUGGGGAGCAAACAGG
This 253-nucleotide ribosomal RNA is filed under the name uncultured bacterium. RNAcentral's name for it is "partial 16S ribosomal RNA". It matches the Rfam family "Bacterial small subunit ribosomal RNA", at positions 524 to 776 of the family's 1533-position model. The record is from RNAcentral.